ACAGAACACGACGCGUCGAUUUCCUUCGCUCCUCUUCCAGCUGUUUUCCGUGCAGCCGAUUGGGGUUUGGGGUUUGUUUGCUGGUUGUUGCUUUUGCCCCUCUCGGGAGAUCGGGUCCGGAAAUCGGCUUUGAUAUGGAACUACUCCGCUCUAGCCUGGAAAGGAGACCCGCGCACUCCUCUCGCAGCUAAUUUGGGAUCAUUAAUUUAAUCGGAAAUGAGGUAACCAGUGUAGGAGACAGAGAAAGCAACCGGAGCAUCAAAUGGCAGUUCUCGACAAUCGACGAGGAACUUAAAUCUGGACUCAGGGUUUUAGUGCGGUCCCUGAAUCCCACCACCCGGUCCCUCCGCCUGUCCCGCCGCCAGGUGUGACCUCCACGCGAAGGAAUCUUCUGCGGAUGGGUGCACCUUGCCAACAGGUGUGGCACCUGGAGGAUUAAGAGGCGCCUCCAGACUAAGGGUGCUCAAUGUGGCGUUCUUGUUGCAGAUGAUUCUGGAAGGCCAGUAGGUGUCGGGAGACAUUUGACCUUCUGCAGGUGCUUAGAACUAAGUGUCUGGAAACAUGAUCCCUUCGCGUAAGUUUUUUUCUGAAAGACAACGCUCUUGACUGUAAGCUGUAUUUGAGAGACCUUUUGGCUGAGUUUACUUAAGAUCUAACGGUUAGUCACCAACUGAGGCAGGGCACAGGAUGACCCAAAAAAAAUGUGUCAGUUUUUACACAACUCUGGCCUGCAAGAGUCUACGUGCUUCAUAAAUAAAAAUAAACAUCCGAGCGAGGAAGGUGCAGAGCCCCGGAAAUAUUUUUUCUCGCGUUUUUGAAAUACCGUGCACAUAUACGUGGCUAUUUAAAUGUAACUACUACUGUUCACUCUUACUCAUUUCUACAACUUUUGUUUCCAUUUAAAAAUCGAUUAUUGUUACGGUUUAAACCUCGGGUUGGUCUAAAGUGACAUUGUUGGUCUCAUUACAGCCUCUAGUGGACAGUUAACAUCGGUUUCCUGAAAAGGCUCUGACUGAUUUUGUUUUCGUUGACAAGCUUGGCCAAGGUGAAGGUUAGUACGUAAGAGCAUAAUCGGGUAAAAUGUUCCCUUGCCCCUAACCUCACCCCCGCCCCCAACACCCUACUUGGCAAAGACGACUUCAGAAAGGAGCAGUGGCUUGUUGGCUUUGUAUAGAAAAGACGUAUGCUUUGUGCUGCAGGUAUUAUUAUUACUGGACUGUGAAUAAACAGAAAGCUUCUGCUAUUCA
Piliocolobus tephrosceles (Ugandan red Colobus) is the source of this 1247-nucleotide long non-coding RNA. RefSeq lists it as uncharacterized. The transcript is spliced from 2 exons. NCBI's taxonomy places the organism in Eukaryota, Metazoa, Chordata, Mammalia, Primates, Cercopithecidae. The record is from RefSeq and is a predicted model, not a curated record.